UACAGGGGGGGCAAGCGUUGUUCGGAAUUACUGGGCGUAAAGGGUCUGUAGGUGGCCAACUAAGUCAGACGUGAAAUCCCUCAGCUUAACUGGGGAACUGCGUCUGAUACUGGAUGGCUCGAGUGUGGGAGAGGAAUGCGGAAUUCCAGGUGUAGCGGUGAAAUGCGUAGAUAUCUGGAGGAACACCGGUGGCGAAGGCGGCAUUCUGGGCCGAUACUGACGCUGAGGAGCGAAAGCGUGGGGAGCGAACAGG
Molecule: ribosomal RNA, 253 nt
Filed under: uncultured bacterium
Lineage: Bacteria
Description: partial 16S ribosomal RNA
Rfam family: Bacterial small subunit ribosomal RNA
Source: RNAcentral